Molecule: ribosomal RNA, 590 nt
Filed under: Glutamicibacter sp.
Lineage: Bacteria; Bacillati; Actinomycetota; Actinomycetes; Micrococcales; Micrococcaceae
Description: bacterial SSU rRNA
Rfam family: Bacterial small subunit ribosomal RNA
Source: RNAcentral
AGCCGGCCUGAGAGGGUGACCGGCCACACUGGGACUGAGACACGGCCCAGACUCCUACGGGAGGCAGCAGUGGGGAAUAUUGCACAAUGGGCGGAAGCCUGAUGCAGCGACGCCGCGUGAGGGAUGACGGCCUUCGGGUUGUAAACCUCUUUCAGUAGGGAAGAAGCGAAAGUGACGGUACCUGCAGAAGAAGCGCCGGCUAACUACGUGCCAGCAGCCGCGGUAAUACGUAGGGCGCAAGCGUUAUCCGGAUUUAUUGGGCGUAAAGAGCUCGUAGGCGGUUUGUCGCGUCUGCCGUGAAAGUCCGAGGCUCAACCUCGGAUCUGCGGUGGGUACGGGCAGACUAGAGUGAUGUAGGGGAGACUGGAAUUCCUGGUGUAGCGGUGAAAUGCGCAGAUAUCAGGAGGAACACCGAUGGCGAAGGCAGGUCUCUGGGCAUUUACUGACGCUGAGGAGCGAAAGCAUGGGGAGCGAACAGGAUUAGAUACCCUGGUAGUCCAUGCCGUAAACGUUGGGCACUAGGUGUGGGGGACAUUCCACGUUUUCCGCGCCGUAGCUAACGCAUUAAGUGCCCCGCCUGGGGAGUACGG